This 226-nucleotide unclassified non-coding RNA is filed under the name uncultured Alphaproteobacteria bacterium. RNAcentral describes it as "contains 16S-23S intergenic spacer region". The record is from RNAcentral. Lineage: Bacteria; Pseudomonadati; Pseudomonadota; Alphaproteobacteria.
UCCGGCUUAUCACCGGCAGUCCCUUUAGAGUGCCCAACUUAAUGGUGGCAACUAAAGGCGAGGGUUGCGCUCGUUGCGGGACUUAACCCAACAUCUCACGACACGAGCUGACGACAGCCAUGCAGCACCUGUCUCCGGUCCAGCCGAACUGAAGAGGUCCAUUUCUGGUCCUCGCGACCGGGAUGUCAAGGGUUGGUAAGGUGGGGAUGACGUGGAACGGUUGGUU